GUGGCGUCGACAGAGUCUUCUCUUGCACUCGCAUCUGCAACAUCUCAAAUAUGGUUUCUCGCGUCGUGUUGGUCGUGCUGGUGGUGGUCGUCCUAGCGGCCGCAGCAGUGGCUCUCCCUGACCCCACCAAACGGCACUUGGGAUACGGCUUGUACGGAGGAUACGGAGGAUACGGCCUCGGAGGAUUUGGCUUGGGAGGCUACGGAGGCUAUGGAUCCCGCUAUCCUUAUUACGGAUCCUACUACGGAUAGAUGGUGGUACACCGGGUGUUAAGUUAUCUCUGUAUCUUCGUCUUCAAUAAAACUUUAUUUUUGCGAAGUAGUGGUAAUUGCUCAAGCCUUAUGCCUUUAUAUUCAUAGUGCUAAUAUAAAAGUAUUAUAAUUACUACUCUUUAACGUGGCUAAAUAUUGUAACAUGAAUACAAACCAACAAUAUAUAUAUAAAUAUGUAUG
Molecule: long non-coding RNA, 452 nt
Organism: Penaeus indicus
Lineage: Eukaryota; Metazoa; Arthropoda; Malacostraca; Decapoda; Penaeidae
Exons: 3
Source: RefSeq, a predicted model, not a curated record